Molecule: ribosomal RNA, 400 nt
Filed under: uncultured bacterium
Lineage: Bacteria
Description: bacterial SSU rRNA
Rfam family: Bacterial small subunit ribosomal RNA
Source: RNAcentral
GAAUAUUGGACAAUGGGCGAAAGCCUGAUCCAGCAAUGCCGCGUGAGUGAUGAAGGCCUUAGGGUUGUAAAGCUCUUUUACCCGAGAUGAUAAUGACUGUAUCGGGAGAAUAAGCUCCGGCUAACUCUGUGCCAGCAGCCGCGGUAAUACAGAGGGGGCAAGCGUUGUUCGGAAUUACUGGGCGUAAAGGGCGCGUAGGCGGCCUGCUAAGUCAGACGUGAAAUCCCCCGGCUCAACCGGGGAACUGCGUCUGAUACUGGCGGGCUUGAGUUCGGGAGAGGAAUGUGGAAUUCCAGGUGUAGCGGUGAAAUGCGUAGAUAUCUGGAGGAACACCGGUGGCGAAGGCGGCAUUCUGGACCGACACUGACGCUGAGGCGCGAAAGCCAGGGGAGCAAACGGG